CCCAGUUCGAAGGUAGGCCCAAUAACAUUCAACAAUUAGAGCCCAAGCAGCAUCGGAAAGGAGAGCAAAGCCGAAAAGAUUUAGUCAGCAACGAUGUACGGAAAGAUGUGAUGGAAAACGACAAACAGACUAGGGGGAGACUCGAAACGUACUGAUGCUCGACAAAUGUCACAAGAUUAAGCUUCGUGUAAUUACUAUAAAUGAGAGACAUGGAUGUUGUUUAUCGUCUUCUUCAUCCUAAAACCCUAAAGUUUCAACCUUUGCAGUAAAAAAGAAGGAUGGAUUUGUUCACCGGACCUCACGUCACGUCUGAGGCAGGAGUGUUCUGGGACUUAGACGAAUGUGGGAUCCCUGAUGAAAUGACUGCUGCUCAAAGCUUGGAGAUAAUCAGGCAGACUCUGUCGGAUGGUGGCCAUCGUGGUCCUGUUUCGAUCCGGGCUUAUGGUGAUACGACCGGUCUUGACUUUCAAUCCUCCGAUAUCAAACUCAACCAUUUUCAAGCAGGAGAGAAACGUGAGAAGAUGACGAAAGUCUUGGAGGACAUAGUUGCGUGGUCGGGUGAGAAUCCAGAACCAUCGGUGGGGAUGCUAAUGAUUGGAGACUUGGGAGACGCCGAAGAUGACAUCAUCGAGGUUCUGGAUCUUCUCAAGAUUCGGAAAAAUUACAGGUUUAUUAUUGUGACACUACCCCCACCUCCUCCAACGGUGGUGAUUGUGAUGGCGGAUCUUCCUCGUGGUGGCUGAUUAACAUUUUCAUUAAAAAUAAAAUGGUAGUUUGCAUUUAGUAAAUGUUGGAUAAUCAAAAUCCUCUUUUGGAAACUUUUGUUUUGUCUCGGAAGGAAAAGAUAAUUACUAAUUAGUAGAUGUUUUUAUUUAUAAUCUCUUCUAUUUAUUUAUUUUCUGCCUUCCACAAUGCUAGAAAAUAUAUUCAUUAUUGGAAAAAAAGAGUAGUUUAUUAGUAUGCUAUGCUUUGUCGAAAAUAAAUAAGAGCAAUAGAAAGGUUUCACAUGUAAGAGUUGCAAAAUCACACGCCAAUUUUGUCUUGUCUAGUCAAGAAGUAGAACUUACAUUCACUUCUCAUAAUCAUUUUACAAUAUACAUGUAUGUAUGUAUGGUACAUCUAAAGCAAGCUGCCAAUGCAAACAAGCUGGACUCUCAUCUUUAGAUAAUGGGUUUAAUAGUUUAAGUGGCCUUUCUACUGGAGCCACUAAAAAUGGAUCAUCGUCCUCAUACGUUAUCAAAAGAGAAGUCGGCCCAGUUAGAAUGUAAGCCCAAUAAGAUUCAACAAUCAAAGCCCAAGCUGCAAGAGCUCUUUCUUUCCAGAGAAGCAAAGAAGGAGAUAAGAGCAAAGCCAAAAGCGAAACAAUGUACGGGAAGUUAUGAUGGAAGAGGAGAAGAGACUUGGGGGAGACUGGGAUCGCAUCACUCGAAACGUACUGAUGCUCGACAAAUGUCACAAGAUUAAGCUUCGUGUAGUUGCUAUAAAUGAGAGAGAGACGUCGUCGUCGUUCAUCCUCAAAAAAAAAACCUAAAGUUUCAACCUUUGCUAGUCAAAAAGAAAAAACAAAACCAUGGCUUCGUACAGCGAACCUUACGUCUCGAAUGGGACAGGAGUCUUCUGGGACAUGGACGAAUGCAAGAUCCCUGAGGGACGCACCGAAGCUGACCUCGUACCGUUUAUUAGACAGAUGCUGUUGGAUGUUGGUCUACGCGGGCCCGUUUCGAUCCGGAUCUAUGGUGAUUUGACCGGCCUUGACUUUCAAGCCUCGGAGGAUGUUAAGCUGAAUCAGUUCCACGCAGGAGAGAAACGUGAGAAGAUGACGAAGAUAUUGGAGGACAUAGUUGCGUGGUCAGGUGAGAAUCCGGAACCAUCGUUGGGAGUACUAGUCUUGGGACACUUGGGAGCCGCAGAUGAUGCUGACAUCACCGAGGUUACUGAGCUUCUCAAGACUCAGAAGAACUAUCACUUUGUGUUUGCGACUCCAGGAUCUCCUCCUCCAACGGUUGUGAGGUUUCUCAGGGCUAUUCCUCGUGGUGGACUCUAGUUCUUUUUUUGGUUUGAAUAACAUUUUCAAUAAAGGACAAAAGUAAUUUCUAGUUAAUGUUGGAUAAUCAAAAGAUGAUUAUGUUAUGUCUCGGAAGCAAAAGAUGAUUAUCGAUCAGAUGUUUUAUUUUACAA
RNA transcript from Brassica napus (rape), 2178 nucleotides. RefSeq lists it as uncharacterized. The record is from RefSeq and is a predicted model, not a curated record. The transcript is spliced from 5 exons. Lineage: Eukaryota; Viridiplantae; Streptophyta; Magnoliopsida; Brassicales; Brassicaceae.